RNAcentral lists this ribosomal RNA (406 nucleotides) under uncultured bacterium. RNAcentral describes it as "partial 16S ribosomal RNA". It matches the Rfam family "Bacterial small subunit ribosomal RNA", at positions 28 to 526 of the family's 1533-position model. The record is from RNAcentral.
GAUGAACGCUGACAGAAUGCUUAACACAUGCAGUCACUGAUUGUGGCGGACGGGUGAGUAACGCGUAAAGCACUUGCCUCACAGCUAGGCACAACCUUUGGAAACGACUGCUAAUACCUAAUACUGUGGGAAAGAUUUGCGUCCCAUUAGCUAGUUGGGGAGGUAACGGCUCACCAAGGCGAUGAUGGGUAGCCGGCCUGAGAGGGUGAGCGGCCACAAGCUGACUGAGACACAGCCCUUACUCUUACGGGAGGCAGCAGUGGGGAAUAUUGGACAAUGGACCAAAGUCUGAUCCAGAAAUUCUGUGUGCACGAUGAAGUUUUCGGAAUGUAAAGUGCUUUCAGUUGGGAAGCGGUACCAACAGAAGAAGCGACGGCUAAAUACGUGCCAGCAGCCGCGGUAAUUC